CAGAGUUCUUUGCAACUCCCAACCCCUGUGAACCAUACCAAUUUUUUUGUUGUUGCUAUCUGGCAGCGCCUCCGGGUGUCUGCCAGCGGCGACCGGCUCCAACCUUCUGUAUCACUGCACCGUCUGAGCUUCUGAAAAAAUAAGUCA
This 147-nucleotide unclassified non-coding RNA is filed under the name soil metagenome. RNAcentral's name for it is "partial internal transcribed spacer 1". The record is from RNAcentral.